UUCUAUUUCCUUUAGGAACUAUUUAUAUUUUCAAUUUUAUCAAAUAAUAAUAUUGAUUGCGCUUUGUCUACUAGUAAUAAGCAAUUCAUUUACACAGAAGUCGCAGCUUUGAGCUUUCUGCUUAAUUACGGCCAUUUCCAUGGCUUCGAGAACCCAGAGCAACGGACGCAGCUUCGAAUUGGAGCUCCAACUCGAACAAGAAGUGGAAAAUAAGGUAAUUCAAUAUUUCUGAUUUCCUUUUUUUGGUCGGGACAUCGCUUCGAAGAUUAACAAAUUCGGACUUUUUUACUGUGACUUAGGUCAAAUUUCGCCUUUUCCGUUUCGAUUGCCAUAUUGAUUAGAGUUAUGAUUUGGUUAAUUGUGGAACAAUAUGUGAAUUUUGAUUGAGGAUUAACAAUAUUCAAUACUAGGGGUUUUUCUAAUUUGUCAAUUUGGAUGAUGAUAGUACACUAUUAUAUUUUUAAUCAAUUAAAUGUAAUUUUCUCCAUGUCCUCUUGAGAAUAUAUGCUGAGGGAUUAUAUUGAUUUGUUGCAUUUUUUUUUUUUGUAUUCAUGUGAUGUGAAUUCAGAACUCAAAGCUUCGCGAAGUUGUUCUUUAUCUAUGUUGAGCUGGAUUUACUGUCUUUGCUGUUCUUCCUUCAGCCCCCAACCGUUGAGAAGGAUGCGGAAGAUUCAAUCGAAUCAUCCCCUAAUCGAGAAAUGACCACGUACUCGCAGCAUUACUUUGGCAGUAUCAGAGAUGGUUUCUCCAUCAGCAUCAUUGAGGUAUUACGAGGAAGUGGCAAAUGUGCUUUAUGUUUAGUAUUUUCUGAUAUACAUU
Molecule: long non-coding RNA, 819 nt
Filed under: Salvia miltiorrhiza (redroot sage)
Lineage: Eukaryota; Viridiplantae; Streptophyta; Magnoliopsida; Lamiales; Lamiaceae
Description: long non-coding RNA (SMIL_LNC006948)
Source: RNAcentral